Molecule: ribosomal RNA, 253 nt
Filed under: uncultured bacterium
Lineage: Bacteria
Description: partial 16S ribosomal RNA
Rfam family: Bacterial small subunit ribosomal RNA
Source: RNAcentral
UACGUAGGGGGCAAGCGUUGUCCGGAAUCAUUGGGCGUAAAGAGCGUGUAGGCGGCCCGGUAAGUCCGCUGUGAAAGUCCAGGGCUCAACCCUGGGAUGCCGGUGGAUACUGUCGGGCUCGAGUCCGGAAGAGGAGUGUGGAAUUCCUGGUGUAGCGGUGAAAUGCGCAGAUAUCAGGAGGAACACCGGUGGCGAAGGCGGGUCUCUGGGCCGUAACUGACGCUGAGGAGCGAAAGCAUGGGGAGCGAACAGG